ACCUGGGUAGCUCAAUUGGUUAGAGCGUGAGACUCUUAAUCUCAAGGCUGGGGGUUCGAGACCCCCCUCGGGUG
Cladochytrium replicatum is the source of this 74-nucleotide non-coding RNA. NCBI's taxonomy places the organism in Eukaryota, Fungi, Chytridiomycota, Chytridiomycetes, Cladochytriales, Cladochytriaceae. The record is from the annotation of a GenBank genome assembly.